GAUGAACGCUAGCUACAGGCUUAACACAUGCAAGUCGAGGGGUAACGAGAGGAAAGCUUGCUUUCCUUGUCGACGACCGGCGCACGGGUGAGUAACGCGUAUCCAACCUGCCCCCAACUAGGGAAUAACCUUGCGAAAGUAAGACUAAUACCCUAUAAUUUCCUCAGAUGACAUCUGACGAGGAAUAAAGAUUUAUCGGUUGUGGAUGGGGAUGCGUCUGAUUAGCUCGUUGGCGGGGUAACGGCCCACCAAGGCAACGAUCAGUAGGGGUUUUGAGAGGAAGGUCCCCCACAUUGGAACUGAGACACGGUCCAAACUCCUACGGGAGGCAGCAGUGAGGAAUAUUGGUCAAUGGGCGGAAGCCUGAACCAGCCAAGUAGCGUGCAGGAUGACGGCCCUAUGGGUUGUAAACUGCUUUUAUACAGGAAUAAAGUUAGCCACGUGUGGUUAUUUGUAGGUACUGUAUGAAUAAGGACCGGCUAAUUCCGUGCCAGCCGCCGCGGUAA
This 506-nucleotide ribosomal RNA is filed under the name uncultured bacterium. RNAcentral's name for it is "partial 16S ribosomal RNA". It matches the Rfam family "Bacterial small subunit ribosomal RNA", at positions 28 to 523 of the family's 1533-position model. The record is from RNAcentral.